Molecule: small nucleolar RNA, 73 nt
Filed under: Nelumbo nucifera (sacred lotus)
Lineage: Eukaryota; Viridiplantae; Streptophyta; Magnoliopsida; Proteales; Nelumbonaceae
Source: RNAcentral
UGUGUGCCUAUGAUGGGUUUAAAUAUACUAUGAGUUACUACUACUAUGAAAAGAACUUGAUCUGAGGCGCUUU